CAGUCGCCGCGGGAAUACAGAGGGUGCGAGCGUUAAUCGGAUUUACUGGGCGUAAAGCGUGCGUAGGCGGCUUCUUAAGUCGGAUGUGAAAUCCCUGAGCUUAACUUAGGAAUUGCAUUUGAUACUGGGAAGCUAGAGUAUGGGAGAGGAUGGUAGAAUUCCAGGUGUAGCGGUGAAAUGCGUAGAGAUCUGGAGGAAUACCGAUGGCGAAGGCAGCCAUCUGGCCUAAUACUGACGCUGAGGUACGAAAGCAUGGGGAGCAAACAGGAUUAGAUACCCCGGUAGUCCUGUCUCUUAUACA
RNAcentral lists this ribosomal RNA (301 nucleotides) under uncultured bacterium. RNAcentral describes it as "partial 16S ribosomal RNA". It matches the Rfam family "Bacterial small subunit ribosomal RNA", at positions 509 to 809 of the family's 1533-position model. The record is from RNAcentral.